CCUUCGGGCGCCGACGAGUGGCGGACGGGUGAGUAACGCGUAGGAAUCUGCCUCAUAGUGGGGGACAACGUGGGGAAACUCACGCUAAUACCGCAUACGCCCUACGGGGGAAAGCGGGGGCUCUUCGGACCUCGCGCUAUGAGAUGAGCCUGCGUUAGAUUAGCUAGUUGGUGGGGUAAAGGCCUACCAAGGCGACGAUCUAUAGCUGGUCUGAGAGGACGAUCAGCCACACUGGGACUGAGACACGGCCCAGACUCCUACGGGAGGCAGCAGUGGGGAAUAUUGGACAAUGGGCGCAAGCCUGAUCCAGCAAUACCGCGUGUGUGAAGAAGGCCCUAGGGUUGUAAAGCACUUUCAAUUGGGAGGAAAACCUGCUGGUUAAUACCCGGUAGCUUGACAUUACCAAUAGAAGAAGCACCGGCUAACUCCGUGCCAGCAGCCGCGGUAAUACGGAGGGUGCGAGCGUUAAUCGGAAUUACUGGGCGUAAAGCGUGCGUAGGUGGUUCGUUAAGUCAGAUGUGAAAGCCCCGGGCUUAACCUGGGAACGGCAUUUGAAACUGGCGGACUAGAGUUGAGUAGAGGGGAGUGGAAUUUCAGGUGUAGCGGUGAAAUGCGUAGAUAUCUGAAGGAACACCAGUGGCGAAGGCGACUCCCUGGACUCAAACUGACGCUGAGGCACGAAAGCGUGGGUAGCAAACAGGAUUAGAUACCCUGGUAGUCCACGCCGUAAACGAUGUCAACUAGCCGUUGGGCCUAUUUAUAGGCUUAGUGGCGCAGCUAACGCAUUAAGUUGACCGCCUGGGGAGUACGGCCGCAAGGUUAAAACUCAAAUGAAUUGACGGGGGCCCGCACAAGCGGUGGAGCAUGUGGUUUAAUUCGAUGCAACGCGAAGAACCUUACCUACCCUUGACAUCCAUGGAAUC
Molecule: ribosomal RNA, 923 nt
Filed under: uncultured Methylobacter sp.
Lineage: Bacteria; Pseudomonadati; Pseudomonadota; Gammaproteobacteria; Methylococcales; Methylococcaceae
Description: bacterial SSU rRNA
Rfam family: Bacterial small subunit ribosomal RNA
Source: RNAcentral